RNAcentral lists this transfer RNA (68 nucleotides) under Falcipennis canadensis (siberian grouse). RNAcentral describes it as "tRNA-Lys". It matches the Rfam family "tRNA". Rfam says of the family: Transfer RNA (tRNA) molecules are approximately 80 nucleotides in length. Their secondary structure includes four short double-helical elements and three loops (D, anti-codon, and T loops). Further hydrogen bonds mediate the characteristic L-shaped molecular structure. tRNAs have two regions of fundamental functional importance: the anti-codon, which is responsible for specific mRNA codon recognition, and the 3' end, to which the tRNAs corresponding amino acid is attached (by aminoacyl-tRNA synthetases). tRNAs cope with the degeneracy of the genetic code in two manners: having more than one tRNA (with a specific anti-codon) for a particular amino acid; and 'wobble' base-pairing, i.e. permitting non-standard base-pairing at the 3rd anti-codon position. Lineage: Eukaryota; Metazoa; Chordata; Aves; Galliformes; Phasianidae. The record is from RNAcentral.
CAUUAAGAAGCUAUGAACAAGCACUAGCCUUUUAAGCUAGAGAAAGAGGAUCCCUUCCUCCUUAAUGA